Molecule: ribosomal RNA, 430 nt
Filed under: uncultured Sphingobacteriales bacterium
Lineage: Bacteria; Pseudomonadati; Bacteroidota; Sphingobacteriia; Sphingobacteriales
Description: bacterial SSU rRNA
Rfam family: Bacterial small subunit ribosomal RNA
Source: RNAcentral
AAUUCGAUGAUACGCGAGGAACCUUACCUGGGCUCAAAUGUAUGUUGACGUAUUCUGAAAGGGAUACUUCUUCGGACAAUAUACAAGGUGCUGCAUGGUUGUCGUCAGCUCGUGCCGUGAGGUGUCGGGUUAAGUCCCAUAACGAGCGCAACCCUAUCAUUAGUUGCCAUCAGGUCAAGCUGGGGACUCUAAUGAAACUGCCUACGCAAGUAGUGAGGAAGGUGGGGAUGACGUCAAAUCAGCACGGCCCUUACGUCCAGGGCUACACACGUGCUACAAUGGCCGGUACAAAGGGCAGCUACCUGGUGACAGGAUGCUAAUCUCAAAAGCCGGUCUCAGUUCGGAUCGGAGUCUGCAACCCGACUCCGUGAAGCUGGAAUCGCUAGUAAUCGUGAAUCAGAAUGUCACGGUGAAUACGUUCCCGGGCCUU